This 279-nucleotide ribosomal RNA is filed under the name Eubacterium coprostanoligenes. RNAcentral's name for it is "partial 16S ribosomal RNA". It matches the Rfam family "Bacterial small subunit ribosomal RNA", at positions 524 to 801 of the family's 1533-position model. Lineage: Bacteria; Bacillati; Bacillota; Clostridia; Eubacteriales; Eubacteriaceae. The record is from RNAcentral.
UACGUAGGUGGCAAGCGUUAUCCGGAAUUACUGGGUGUAAAGGGAGCGCAGGCGGGAUAGCAAGUCAGUUGUGAAAACUAUGGGCUCAACCCAUAGAUUGCAGUUGAAACUGUUAUUCUUGAGUGGAGUAGAGGCAAGCGGAAUUCCGAGUGUAGCGGUGAAAUGCGUAGAUAUUCGGAGGAACACCAGUGGCGAAGGCGGCUUGCUGGGCUCUAACUGACGCUGAGGCUCGAAAGUGUGGGGAGCAAACAGGAUUAGAUACCCAGCGGCUGACUGACU